This 76-nucleotide transfer RNA is filed under the name Dehalococcoidia bacterium. RNAcentral describes it as "tRNA-Arg". It matches the Rfam family "tRNA". Rfam says of the family: Transfer RNA (tRNA) molecules are approximately 80 nucleotides in length. The record is from RNAcentral. Lineage: Bacteria; Bacillati; Chloroflexota; Dehalococcoidia.
GCCCCGGUAGCUCAGCGGAUAGAGCAUCUGUCUUCUAAACAGGGGGUCGUGGGUUCGAAUCCCACCUGGGGCACCA